AGCUCUUUCUUGAUUUUGUGGGUGGUGGUGCAUGGCCGUUCUUAGUUGGUGGAGUGAUUUGUCUGCUUAAUUGCGAUAACGAACGAGACCUUAACCGUUAAAUAGAUUAGCUCGCAUUUGCGGGUACAUUAAUCUUCUUAGCGGGACUGCGGAUUUUAAGUCUGCGGAAGUUUGAGGCAAUAACAGGUCUGUGAUGCCCUUAGACGUUCUGGGCCGCACGCGCGCUACACUGACGGAGCCAGCGAGUGAAUUAACCAAGCCCGAGAGGGCUAGGUAAUCUUGUGAAACUCCGUCGUGCUGGGGAUCGAGCAUUGCAAUUAUUGCUCGUGAACGAGGAAUUCCUAGUAAGCGCAAGUCAUCAGCUUGCGUUGAUUACGUCCCUGCCCUUUGUACACACCGCCCGUCGCUACUACCGAUUGAAUGGUUUAGUGAGACCUUAGGAGAUCUUGAAGAAAUGGGGGCAACCCUAUAGAUUUGGAUCAAAUUUGGUCAAACUUGAUCAUUUAGAGGAAGUAAAAGUCGUAACAAGGUUUCCGUAGGUGAACCUGCGGAAGGAUCAUUCAAAAUGGUUUUUUUACUUUUUAAAACUUAUGUGCAUUAAUUUUUUAUUUUAUUAAAAUUAAAUUAAUUUGAUUUUUUUUAACGAAUUUUUAUUUUAAAUAAAAUACAACUUUCAACAACGGAUCUCUAGGUUCUCGUAUCGAUGAAGAACGCAGCGAAGCGCGAUAUUUUUUGUGACUUGCAGAUGUGAAUCAUUAGUUUUUGAACGCAUAUUGCGCAGUAUAGUUAAUCUAUACUGCACGG
RNAcentral lists this ribosomal RNA (804 nucleotides) under uncultured yeast. Its description in RNAcentral is "bacterial SSU rRNA". The stretch from base 1 to 562 matches the Rfam family "Eukaryotic small subunit ribosomal RNA", at positions 1253 to 1831 of the family's 1831-position model. The record is from RNAcentral. Lineage: Eukaryota; Fungi.